This 582-nucleotide ribosomal RNA is filed under the name uncultured bacterium. Its description in RNAcentral is "partial 16S ribosomal RNA". It matches the Rfam family "Bacterial small subunit ribosomal RNA", at positions 355 to 932 of the family's 1533-position model. The record is from RNAcentral.
UGGGGAAUAUUGCACAAUGGGCGCAAGCCUGAUGCAGCCAUGCCGCGUGUGUGAAGAAGGCCUUCGGGUUGUAAAGCACUUUCAGCGAGGAGGAAGGUGGUGAACUUAAUACGUUCAUCAAUUGACGUUACUCGCAGAAGAAGCACCGGCUAACUCCGUGCCAGCAGCCGCGGUAAUACGGAGGGUGCAAGCGUUAAUCGGAAUUACUGGGCGUAAAGCGCACGCAGGCGGUUUGUUAAGUCAGAUGUGAAAUCCCCGGGCUCAACCUGGGAACUGCAUUUGAAACUGGCAAGCUAGAGUCUCGUAGAGGGGGGUAGAAUUCCAGGUGUAGCGGUGAAAUGCGUAGAGAUCUGGAGGAAUACCGGUGGCGAAGGCGGCCCCCUGGACGAAGACUGACGCUCAGGUGCGAAAGCGUGGGGCAGCAAACAGGAUUAGAUACCCUGGUAGUCCACGCUGUAAACGAUGUCGAUUUUGGAGGUUGUGCCCUUGAGGCGUGGCUUCCGGAGCUAACGCGUUAAAUCGACCGCCUGGGGAGUACGGCCGCAAGGUUAAAACUCAAAUGAAUUGACGGGGUCAUAGCUG